This is a long non-coding RNA of Lolium perenne, 2951 nucleotides long. RefSeq lists it as uncharacterized. The record is from RefSeq and is a predicted model, not a curated record. NCBI's taxonomy places the organism in Eukaryota, Viridiplantae, Streptophyta, Magnoliopsida, Poales, Poaceae.
CCACAUCCCCACCUCCCCGUCGUCGCGCGCUCAUUGCCCCCUCCCCCGCCCCCCACUUCGCGACCGCGGCGGCGCCGCCACCUGCUCUCUCUCCUUCGACCCUAUCCACCCUUCGCGCCUGCCUCUGUUUCCUUGUGGGCCGGAAUCGAAUGUUUCUUCAUCGCCCCCCGCACCCCGCUCUCCGUCGCCGUUGCCAUCUUCCCUUGCUCCGGCGCCACCUGCGCAUCUAAACCCUGGUUCACAACGCUGCCAGAUCCAGCUGCCUGGAGCUCGCCACCCAAACCACGCGUCUCUACCUCCCGAUCCAGGCGGGUGGCACGGUCAUCGCUCGACGAACACAACAAUCUUCGCUCCAGUAGCGGCUUGAUAACCAGUGCAAUGUCCUCUUGGGUAGAGGAAACUUUGCUGUGAUGAGGAGUGUGCAAAAAUUGAGAGGAAAAGGGUCCUUGCUGAAGCUUUUGACAUUACACUGCCCAAUCUGGAUGCAUUGCAUUUCGGUGAGAAUUCAAGUGCGUCGGAGUUGCUUUCUGAUCUUUUCCGGCGAGAGCCAAAGUGGGUGCUGGCCAUAGAGAGGUGCAAAUUUCUCGUGCUUGGGAAGGCGCGAGGAAAUUCUUCAAGUAACAUCAAGGUCCAUGUGUUCUGUCAGAUGACGAAGGAUAAGAGGGAUGCUAUCAGGCUCAAUGCAGAUAGGUGAAAGCUGUCCGUUCAGGUGGUUGGUUGGGAGCCCAAGAGUUUUGUUAACAUCCAUGUCACACCCAAGUCAAAGGUGCCUGCUCAUGUUCUGGGCUCCAAAGCUGGUAUCUCUGUCUCGGCUUCCCAUCCUUACUUUGAUCCCAUGGUAGACAUGGACCCAAGGCUCGUUGUUGCAAUGCUGGACCUGCCAAGGGAAGCUGAUGCUAGCUCUCUGGUCUCGAGGUUUGGCGGGGAGUGUGAAUUGGUUUGGCUGAAUGACAAGAAUGCCUUGGCGGUCUUCCGUGAUCCAGCUAGAGCCGUCUCAGUGCUGAGGCGGUUGGACUAUGGGUCUGCUUACCAGGGGGCUGUGAUGUUUUGCCCAAGCAGCAUCACUCAGGCUUCGUCAUCAGGCAAUGUGUGGGUUCGCGCACAGAGAGACGGAGGACCCACUGCACAGGGCAGUGCCAAUCCAUGGAAGAAGGCUGGUGCCUUUGAGCCUGGAUCAUCUGGAGACUGGACAGUACUCGGUCAUUCUCCAGGGAUGUGUGUGCUUGGUCAAGCUGCAGGGUCAGCUUGAAGGCAGGCUGAUACCCCUGGUCAGGUCAUGGGUACAAACAGAUUGACUGCUCUGGAGUCUCCUGCUGGCACAAGCUCCGUGCCAGCCGACAAACUCAAGCCAGAUCUUUGCACUGAUGCUGGGUCCAGAGCACAAGGCAAAAGAAGCAGCAGCCUUAAAUGGGGAUUGCCGCGGCGACAGAAUCAGUACUUCUGAAUGAUAUACCUAAAUAAAAACAAGGAAUCUCGACCAAAACACCUACCCCUCGUCACGCGCGAUUCUUCCCAGUUUUCCACUUCAAGGUCUGGCUGCAGCUUGGGCACUGCUUGACCAGCGCUCUGUACUCUCUGCUCGCUUUCUGUGUUUGGAUGGUACUUUGUGUGAUCUUAAUGCUUUCUUAUACAGUAGCGUGGGGGAAACGCCGUGCAGAUUUUGCUUCUGCUCCAAAGUGUUCAAAUGUAGUCACCUCCGAAGUGCUUCUGUCCCUGUGGUCUUAAUGCCCGAGUUACAUUAUCUACCAAAAAAAAAUACGAAAGGAAUUUUAUUAUUCAGAUAUGCUUCCUGGUCUUUCACCGCCUCUUUCUCUGGUGCUGAGCGUGUCACCCGCAGCUACUCAGUCUUCAUCCAUAGGCGUCAGCAUCGCCAUUGUUGCUACUGUUAUAAUUGGUACAUCCCUCUUGACCUGUUGCAUUGCGGUCCUCUGCCGUAGUUCCCGCCGAAGUCGCACAGCCUGCUCUUCAUUCUCCCACCGCAGCAGCAGCUCCUGAAAGGCCUCGUUGUCAGCAGCACCUGAAAUGAAUGCAGAACUGUCUGGGUUGGAGCUCCCUCUGCCAUCUGCACCCUCUCUACCACUGAUUUUGGAAUUGCUCUCGCAACCCCAAGUGCUGAGGCAGCCGGGGAGCAGCAUCUUUUGCUGCAUGUGCGACCAAGUUUUUGUGCCUACCAAUAUGAUAAUGGCCCUUGCGGUGUGCUCACAUAAAUUCCAUCAACCGUCAUCGUCUCACAGAUUCGCUGACCCGCAACACCUUCAUGCUGUCCCUUCUGUGAUGCUCCCAUUACCAUUCCCUGCGCUGACCAGACCAAUCUUGCACACUGCUCAGAUCAGUAUGACAUUGACGCACAGGUCACGACAAAGCCAGCUCCGCCUGGAGAGGAGGUGGCAGAGGCUGUUGGGGGCUCUUGUGGGUGGCCGCGACCUUCAGUGGACAGACUUGCAGGCAUUAGGUGUUGCUCCAGCAACCAUGCCACUGCAGUGGUAGUGCCGGUGUCCUUACAGCAUACAGCCAGAAGCUGGAGCUAGACAACAUGGGCCACCUUGGCGUUGAUUCUAAUGGUCCAGAUGCAGUCUGGCAAGGAGGUAGAGGCUGUUGGGGGCUCUCACUGGUGGAUGCACUCUUAUUUGGCUACACUCUCGAACACCUGGAGUGGACGCUCAGACAGCCGUUCCUCUACACCUCAGGGUGUGCAACUCAGAGCUUGAGCCAGGUACCAAGUGGCUUUGGCGGUACUGAUUCAUGGUCUAGGAACUGGGAUCUUGAGCCAGGUACCAAGUUUCAUCUACAGUUGUAUUAUGUUUGGCCUCAAGGUGUGCAACUCAGAGCUUGAGCCAGGUACCAAGUGGCUUUGCCGGUACUGAUUCAUGGUCUAGGAGCUGGGAUCUUCAAGUAGCUGAGCAGAGGAGCUUCGUCUUCGAAUUUGAUCAUGCCCGAUGGUUGCAUUGAAA